This 2057-nucleotide ribosomal RNA is filed under the name Salmonella enterica. RNAcentral describes it as "partial 23S ribosomal RNA". It matches the Rfam family "Bacterial large subunit ribosomal RNA", at positions 161 to 2238 of the family's 2925-position model. The record is from RNAcentral. Lineage: Bacteria; Pseudomonadati; Pseudomonadota; Gammaproteobacteria; Enterobacterales; Enterobacteriaceae.
AAUCCAUAGGUUAAUGAGGCGAACCGGGGGAACUGAAACAUCUAAGUACCCCGAGGAAAAGAAAUCAACCGAGAUUCCCCCAGUAGCGGCGAGCGAACGGGGAGGAGCCCAGAGCCUGAAUCAGCAUGUGUGUUAGUGGAAGCGUCUGGAAAGGCGCGCGAUACAGGGUGACAGCCCCGUACACAAAAGCGCAUGUGCUGUGAGCUCGAUGAGUAGGGCGGGACACGUGGUAUCCUGUCUGAAUAUGGGGGGACCAUCCUCCAAGGCUAAAUACUCCUGACUGACCGAUAGUGAACCAGUACCGUGAGGGAAAGGCGAAAAGAACCCCGGCGAGGGGAGUGAAAAAGAACCUGAAACCGUGUACGUACAAGCAGUGGGAGCACAGGUUUACCUGUGUGACUGCGUACCUUUUGUAUAAUGGGUCAGCGACUUAUAUUCUGUAGCAAGGUUAACCGAAUAGGGGAGCCGGAGGGAAACCGAGUCUUAACCGGGCGUUAAGUUGCAGGGUAUAGACCCGAAACCCGGUGAUCUAGCCAUGGGCAGGUUGAAGGUUGGGUAACACUAACUGGAGGACCGAACCGACUAAUGUUGAAAAAUUAGCGGAUGACCUGUGGCUGGGGGUGAAAGGCCAAUCAAACCGGGAGAUAGCUGGUUCUCCCCGAAAGCUAUUUAGGUAGCGCCUCGUGAAUUCAUCUCCGGGGGUAGAGCACUGUUUCGGCUAGGGGGCCAUCCCGGCUUACCAACCCGAUGCAAACUGCGAAUACCGGAGAAUGUUAUCACGGGAGACACACGGCGGGUGCUAACGUCCGUCGUGAAGAGGGAAACAACCCAGACCGCCAGCUAAGGUCCCAAAGUCAUGGUUAAGUGGGAAACGAUGUGGGAAGGCCCAGACAGCCAGGAUGUUGGCUUAGAAGCAGCCAUCAUUUAAAGAAAGCGUAAUAGCUCACUGGUCGAGUCGGCCUGCGCGGAAGAUGUAACGGGGCUAAACCAUGCACCGAAGCUGCGGCAGCGACGCUUAUGCGUUGUUGGGUAGGGGAGCGUUCUGUAAGCCUGUGAAGGUGUGUCGUGAGGCAUGCUGGAGGUAUCAGAAGUGCGAAUGCUGACAUAAGUAACGAUAAAGCGGGUGAAAAGCCCGCUCGCCGGAAGACCAAGGGUUCCUGUCCAACGUUAAUCGGGGCAGGGUGAGUCGACCCCUAAGGCGAGGCCGAAAGGCGUAGUCGAUGGGAAACGGGUUAAUAUUCCCGUACUUGGUGUUACUGCGAAGGGGGGACGGAGAAGGCUAUGUUGGCCGGGCGACGGUUGUCCCGGUUUAAGCGUGUAGGUGUGUGUUCCAGGUAAAUCCGGUUCACUUUAACACUGAGGCGUGAUGACGAGGCACUACGGUGCUGAAGUAACAAAUGCCCUGCUUCCAGGAAAAGCCUCUAAGCAUCAGGUAACAUCAAAUCGUACCCCAAACCGACACAGGUGGUCAGGUAGAGAAUACCAAGGCGCUUGAGAGAACUCGGGUGAAGGAACUAGGCAAAAUGGUGCCGUAACUUCGGGAGAAGGCACGCUGACACGUAGGUGAAGUGAUUUACUCACGGAGCUGAAGUCAGUCGAAGAUACCAGCUGGCUGCAACUGUUUAUUAAAAACACAGCACUGUGCAAACACGAAAGUGGACGUAUACGGUGUGACGCCUGCCCGGUGCCGGAAGGUUAAUUGAUGGGGUCAGCGCAAGCGAAGCUCCUGAUCGAAGCCCCGGUAAACGGCGGCCGUAACUAUAACGGUCCUAAGGUAGCGAAAUUCCUUGUCGGGUAAGUUCCGACCUGCACGAAUGGCGUAAUGAUGGCCAGGCUGUCUCCACCCGAGACUCAGUGAAAUUGAACUCGCUGUGAAGAUGCAGUGUACCCGCGGCAAGACGGAAAGACCCCGUGAACCUUUACUAUAGCUUGACACUGAACAUUGAGCCUUGAUGUGUAGGAUAGGUGGGAGGCUUUGAAGUGUGGACGCCAGUCUGCAUGGAGCCGACCUUGAAAUACCACCCUUUAAUGUUUGAUGUUCUAACGUGGACCCGUUA